AACAGGAUUAGAUACCCUGGUAGUCCACCCCGUAAACGUUGGGAACUAGUUGUGGGGACCAUUCCACGGUUUCCGUGACGCAGCUAACGCAUUAAGUUCCCCGCCUGGGGAGUACGGCCGCAAGGCUAAAACUCAAAGGAAUUGACGGGGACCCGCACAAGCGGCGGAGCAUGCGGAUUAAUUCGAUGCAACGCGAAGAACCUUACCAAGGCUUGACAUAUACGAGAACGGGCCAGAAAUGGUCAACUCUUUGGACACUCGUAAACAGGUGGUGCAUGGUUGUCGUCAGCUCGUGUCGUGAGAUGUUGGGUUAAGUCCCGCAACGAGCGCAACCCUCGUUCUAUGUCGCCAGCACGUAAUGGUGGGAACUCAUGGGAUACUGCCGGGGUCAACUCGGAGGAAGGUGGGGAUGACGUCAAAUCAUCAUGCCCCUUAUGUCUUGGGCUUCACGCAUGCUACAAUGGCCGGUACAAAGGGCUGCAAUACCGUAAGGUGGAGCGAAUCCCAAAAAGCCGGUCCCAGUUCGGAUUGAGGUCUGCAACUCGACCUCAUGAAGUCGGAGUCGCUAGUAAUCGCAGAUCAGCAACGCUGCGGUGAAUACGUUCCCGGGUCUUGUACACACCGCCCGUCAAGUCAUGAAAGUCGGUAACACCUGAAGCCGGUGGCCCAACCCUUGUGGAGGGAGCCGUCGAAGGUGGGAUCGGUAAUUAGGACUAAGUCGUAACAAGGUA
This 731-nucleotide ribosomal RNA is filed under the name uncultured bacterium. RNAcentral's name for it is "bacterial SSU rRNA". It matches the Rfam family "Bacterial small subunit ribosomal RNA", at positions 771 to 1498 of the family's 1533-position model. The record is from RNAcentral.